This 264-nucleotide ribosomal RNA is filed under the name uncultured bacterium. RNAcentral describes it as "partial 16S ribosomal RNA". It matches the Rfam family "Bacterial small subunit ribosomal RNA", at positions 83 to 354 of the family's 1533-position model. The record is from RNAcentral.
AUUCUGCACUUAGUAGCGAACGGGUGAGUAACACGUGGGUUACCUACCUCUAAGUUGGGGACAACAGUUGGAAACGACUGCUAAUACCGAAUGUGAUAGUAAUAUUAAAGGAGCCUUUAAAGCUUCGCUUAGAGAUGGGCCUGCGACGUAUUAGCUUGUUGGUGGGGUAAUGGCCUACCAAGGCAACGAUGCGUAGCCGGACUGAGAGGUUGAACGGCCACACUGGGACUGAGACACGGCCCAGACUCCUACGGGAGGCAGCAG